Molecule: ribosomal RNA, 280 nt
Filed under: Flavobacterium sp. S87F.05.LMB.W.Kidney.N
Lineage: Bacteria; Pseudomonadati; Bacteroidota; Flavobacteriia; Flavobacteriales; Flavobacteriaceae
Source: RNAcentral
UUUUCUCCCGGCUGCGGCCGGGAGAAGAAACUUUCUAAAAUAUAUUUACUUUUCUUUAUCUCAGUAUGUUAAAAUAUUUGCCCGUCGCGGGCAGUCUUUAAGUCGAAAGAUUAAAGAGUAAAGUCAAAGACUUUUACACUUUAUGACCUUAGACUUUAGACUAAAAACCUUAAGGUGGUUAUUGCGGCGGGGCUCACCUCUUCCCAUCCCGAACAGAGUAGUUAAGCCCGCCUGCGCAGAUGGUACUGCAGUAUUGUGGGAGAGUAUGUCGCCGCCUUUU